Molecule: ribosomal RNA, 464 nt
Filed under: uncultured bacterium
Lineage: Bacteria
Description: bacterial SSU rRNA
Rfam family: Bacterial small subunit ribosomal RNA
Source: RNAcentral
AACGAACGCUGGCGGCAGGCCUAACACAUGCAAGUCGAACGCCGUAGCAAUACGGAGUGGCAGACGGGUGAGUAACGCGUGGGAACAUACCCUCCGGUUCGGAAUAACUCAGGGAAACUUGAGCUAAUACCGGAUACGUCCAAGGUUUUAAUCGGCCUUGGAGAAAGAUUUAUCGCUGGAGGAUUGGCCCGCGUCUGAUUAGCUUGUUGGUGAGGUAAUGGCUCACCAAGGCGACGAUCAGUAGCUGGUCUGAGAGGAUGAUCAGCCACAUUGGGACUGAGACACGGCCCAAACUCCUACGGGAGGCAGCAGUGGGGAAUAUUGGACAAUGGGCGAAAGCCUGAUCCAGCCAUGCCGCGUGAGUGAUGAAGGCCUUAGGGUUGUAAAGCUCUUUUACCCCGGGAAGAUAAUGACGGUACCGGGAGAAUAAGCCCCGGCUAACUUCGUGCCAGCCGCCGCCGUAA